UAUCUACAUAAAUGAGGGUCUGAAUGGGGGGGUCUGUUAUUCUGUAAACAUUUAAUUUUCACCCCUUUUUUCUCUAAUCUUCAAAAAAUAAGUCUAUUCUUUAAAAGUGAUUUUUUACGCAUUAUUCUCUAAUUUUUUCCCCCAUUUUCUUUAAUCUUUAAAAAAAAAGUAAAAAACAUUCUUUUAAAUGAAUGAGAACAGUGACUUCCAAACAACAGCAAGACUUUCAUUUGUUUCUCAACAAUGACGCGUUGAUGUGUAUUGUUCUGCAUGAUUAAAGUGCUAGUUCCUUGAAGUAACAAGUCCAAAUUCUCAUCAGUUCUUUCCAGUGAUUUUGACUACAUUUAAGAAGAUGUGGUGUAAUUGCCAAUGAGACAACUCUUCAAAGAGACCAAAUGACACAUAAAUUAACAACUAUAGGUCACUUUACGGCAUUUAACAAUGAAUAAAAGCCAACCGCAUAAUCACCUAUAAACAGGGC
RNAcentral lists this long non-coding RNA (481 nucleotides) under Mytilus galloprovincialis (Mediterranean mussel). Lineage: Eukaryota; Metazoa; Mollusca; Bivalvia; Mytilida; Mytilidae. The record is from RNAcentral.